This 390-nucleotide ribosomal RNA is filed under the name uncultured bacterium. Its description in RNAcentral is "bacterial SSU rRNA". It matches the Rfam family "Bacterial small subunit ribosomal RNA", at positions 28 to 420 of the family's 1533-position model. The record is from RNAcentral.
GACGAACGCUGGCGGCGUGCUUAACACAUGCAAGUCGAACGGAAAGGCCCCUUCGGGGGUACGUCGAGUGGCGAACGGGUGAGUAGCACGUGGGUGAUCUACCCUGCACUUCGGGAUAAGCCUGGGAAACUGGGUCUAAUACCGGAUAUGACCACGAGAUGCAUGUCUUGUGGUGGAAAGCUUUUGCGGUGUGGGAUGGGCCCGCGGCCUACCAGCUUGUUGGUGGGGUGACGGCCUACCAAGGCGACGACGGGUAGCCGGCCUGAGAGGGUGUCCGGCCACACUGGGACUGAGAUACGGCCCAGACUCCUACGGGAGGCAGCAGUGGGGAAUAUUGCACAAUGGGCGCAAGCCUGAUGCAGCGACGCCGCGUGGGGAUGACGGCCUCGG